UAGGACCCUGUUUCCUAAGACCGGCCGCUUUGACUUUGUAUCCGAGAGGGACCUAGCCCUCAUGUAUUACAUUCUCCAAGAUACCCCAAUUAACUUUCCUAAGCUGAUCUACAAAUACCUAUGUGAGCCACUAGACAAACCUAGGCUCACCCUUCCAUAUGGGAUGAUGUAUACCCUGAUUUUUAGGAAGUCCGAGAUCCCCAUUCCUGAGGGGGAAC
This 218-nucleotide long non-coding RNA is filed under the name Phoenix dactylifera (date palm). Its description in RNAcentral is "long non-coding RNA (PDAC_LNC011557)". The record is from RNAcentral. Lineage: Eukaryota; Viridiplantae; Streptophyta; Magnoliopsida; Arecales; Arecaceae.